RNAcentral lists this long non-coding RNA (1140 nucleotides) under Canis lupus familiaris (dog). RNAcentral describes it as "lncRNA (ENSCAFG00040021777.1)". Lineage: Eukaryota; Metazoa; Chordata; Mammalia; Carnivora; Canidae. The record is from RNAcentral.
AUGCCUGGGGCCUGGGGCUCUCAGCUCUCCCUGGGGUCGCUCAUGGAGCGGGAACCCGUGGGGAGAGUCCGGCCGAGCCUUCCACACUGGCUCUUCCCUCUCCACCAGCCAGCACAGGAGCCUGAGACGCUGAAGGAACCAAACUCCAAGUAUCUUCUAUCAAGUGGGUUAUUUGUACCUGAGGACAUCAGAUCUGGGACUGCCGUCGUCCUGGGGCUCUGCCCCUAACCAAAACCAGUGACUCAUGGCAGUUUCUUCUUCUAUCAGUGUUUACAGGGCCUAGAAGGACUGUGAGACUCAGAAGCAGAACAUGCAGGAAAGGGUACUCUUGGAUGUGCUGUCCUAUAGAAUUCCCUGAGUUGAUUAAAAUGUUCUAUUUAUCUAUGCUGUCCAGGGUGAUAGAGUUCCUGCUUAGAUAGUAGCUCCCAUCCCACACUUCCCGGUCCUCUUCUGACUGCAGGCUGUGUCCAGGACAGCUUAGUCUGAGACUACAGACCCCUGGGCUCGAUCUUCAUGGGCCUUCCAGAUCCAGUCUCUACCGUAGCCAUGGCUCAAGCCAUGUCCAAGGACACACAUCACGGUACAGACGGAUGUGGCCAGUACGUUAGUGAUCUCACCACUCUAGCAUCCUGCAGGAGCCUGGCCCGGAGCAGAUGCUGUGUUAACAUUGGAUCAAUGGACUACCUUCUCAUCGCCAGGCCGGUCUCCCUCAGCUACUGGGAUGGCUUCUAGAAUCCCUCCCUAUUAUGUGGACUAAGGACUUCUGCUAUCCAUGGAAGGUGAAUGAAACCAGGGCUUCAGCCUCAUCUCCAUCCUGACUUCCUGGGGUGUGUGCCAAGGUACAGCUGAAAACCAGUGAGCAAUAAUUGGAAACAUCCUGGAUUCAGCAUUGUUAUGUGACAAUCUGAUUUUUAUUUUGAAACUGCAAAACGAAAGCCAUAUAAGCAUCUGCUCUGCAUGAUUAGAGGCAGUGUGGUCCUGAGGAAAGAGGACUAGUCUCAGGGUCAUCCUGGACCUAACAGGCUGUAGUGGACAAGGUGCUCCGUCCCUCUGCACCCCAGUUUUCUCAUAAGUAAAACAAAAACAUUAGACUCUAAGCUUCUUCCUGCUGUUAAUGUGAAUGCUUGAAAAAUGGCUGGU